RNAcentral lists this ribosomal RNA (233 nucleotides) under uncultured Candidatus Saccharibacteria bacterium. RNAcentral describes it as "partial 16S ribosomal RNA". It matches the Rfam family "Bacterial small subunit ribosomal RNA", at positions 585 to 818 of the family's 1533-position model. The record is from RNAcentral. Lineage: Bacteria; Candidatus Saccharimonadota.
AAGUGGAUAGUGAAACCUGGUGGCUCAACCAUACAGACUAUUAUCUAAACUGCUCCGCUCGAGAGCGUUAGGGGUAGCUGGAAUUUCUAGUGUAGGAGUGAAAUCCGUAGAUAUUAGAAAGAACACCGAUAGCGUAGGCAGGCUACUGGGACGUUUCUGACACUAAGGCACGAAAGCGUGGGGAGCAAACGGAUUAAAUACCCGGUAGUCCACGCCGUAAACGAUGGAUACUA